RNAcentral lists this ribosomal RNA (484 nucleotides) under uncultured bacterium. RNAcentral's name for it is "partial 16S ribosomal RNA". It matches the Rfam family "Bacterial small subunit ribosomal RNA", at positions 30 to 507 of the family's 1533-position model. The record is from RNAcentral.
AUUGAACGCUGGCGGCAGGCCUAACACAUGCAAGUCGAGCGGAUGAAGGGAGCUUGCUGCUGGAAUCAGCGGCGGACGGGUGAGUAAUGCCUAAGAAUCCGGCUGCUAGUUGGGGAUAACGUCCGGAAACGGGCGCUAUAACCGAAUACGGCCUGCGAGAUAAAGUGGGGGAUCUGGGGACUUCACGCUAUGAGCUGAGCCUAGGUCGGAUUUCCUAGUUGGUGGGGUAAAGGCCUACCAAGGCGACGAUCCGUAACUGGUCUGAGAGGAUGAUCAGUCACACUGGAACUGAGACACGGUCCAGACUCCUACGGGAGGCAGCAGUGGGGAAUAUUGGACAAAGGGCGAAAGCCUGAUCCAGCCAUGCCGCGUGUGUGAAGAAGGCCUUCGGAUUGUAAGGCCCUUUUAGUGGGGAGGAAGGGCAGUAAGUUAAUACCCCGCUGUUCUGACGUUACCAACAGAAUAAGCACCGGCUAACUUCGUG